This 373-nucleotide ribosomal RNA is filed under the name uncultured bacterium. RNAcentral describes it as "bacterial SSU rRNA". It matches the Rfam family "Bacterial small subunit ribosomal RNA", at positions 524 to 898 of the family's 1533-position model. The record is from RNAcentral.
UACGUAGGUGGCAAGCGUUGUCCGGAAUUAUUGGGCGUAAAGGAUGCGUAGGCGGUCUUUUAAGUGGGAUGUGAAAUACCUGGGCUUAACUCAGGGAUUGCAUUCCAAACUGGGAGACUAGAGUGCAGGAGAGGAAAGUGGAAUUCCCAGUGUAGCGGUGAAAUGCGUAGAGAUUGGGAGGAACACCAGUGGCGAAGGCGACUUUCUGGACUGUAACUGACGCUGAGGCAUGAAAGCGUGGGGAGCAAACAGGAUUAGAUACCCUGGUAGUCCACGCUGUAAACUAUGAGUACUAGGUGUGGGGGGCGAAGCCCUCUGUGCCGCAGUUAACACAAUAAGUACUCCGCCUGGGAAGUACGAUCGCAAGAUUAAA